UGGGGAAUUUUGGACAAUGGGCGAAAGCCUGAUCCAGCAAUGCCGCGUGUGUGAAGAAGGCCUUCGGGUUGUAAAGCACUUUUGUCCGGAAAGAAAUCCUUGGCUCUAAUACAGUCGGGGGAUGACGGUACCGGAAGAAUAAGCACCGGCUAACUACGUGCCAGCAGCCGCGGUAAUACGUAGGGUGCAAGCGUUAAUCGGAAUUACUGGGCGUAAAGCGUGCGCAGGCGGUUUGCUAAGACCGAUGUGAAAUCCCCGGGCUCAACCUGGGAACUGCAUUGGUGACUGGCAGGCUAGAGUAUGGCAGAGGGGGGUAGAAUUCCACGUGUAGCAGUGAAAUGCGUAGAGAUGUGGAGGAAUACCGAUGGCGAAGGCAGCCCCCUGGGCCAAUACUGACGCUCAUGCACGAAAGCGUGGGGAGCAAACAGGAUUAGAUACCCUGGUAGUCCACGCCCUAAACGAUGUCAACUAGUUGUUGGGGAUUCAUUUCCUUAGUAACGUAGCUAACGCGUGAAGUUGACCACCUGGGGAGUACGGUCGCAAGAUUAAAACUCAAAUGAAUUGAC
This 566-nucleotide ribosomal RNA is filed under the name uncultured bacterium. RNAcentral's name for it is "partial 16S ribosomal RNA". It matches the Rfam family "Bacterial small subunit ribosomal RNA", at positions 355 to 914 of the family's 1533-position model. The record is from RNAcentral.